Melospiza melodia melodia is the source of this 379-nucleotide long non-coding RNA. RefSeq lists it as uncharacterized. The record is from RefSeq and is a predicted model, not a curated record. NCBI's taxonomy places the organism in Eukaryota, Metazoa, Chordata, Aves, Passeriformes, Passerellidae. The transcript has 2 exons.
UUCUCUUUUGCCAGAGUAAAUCUUCUCUGAGAGUGUUCUAUGACCAGUCACAGAGCUCUGGUUUUCCCUACAGAGUGGUGUUUGGAUGCAGAGAAGUUGCGCUCUGAAGCUCCCUGGCCUGUUUUCCCAGAAACCUAUGUGACCAGACUGUUUCUCCUCUCCUGUUCCUGUGACCAUCUCGAACCUGCUCCGGACUGGCACCCGGGAACACCGAAGGUUUGGCUGCAGCAGCUGCCCCAGCGCCGGAGGGACUGAGAACAGAGCAACCACCCCCGAAAGAGACUUUCUGAUUUUGUCAUCUUUCUCAGAGCGGUUCAUCGGGUAUUGUUCAUUUUGAGUGCUGGGGGGUGCUGUGCCUGAAAUAAACAGGUUCUUUCCA